GGGUUGUGAGGUUAAGCGACCAAGCGUACACGGUGGAUGCCCUGGCAGUCAGAGGCGAUGAAGGACGUGCUAAUCUGCGAUAAGCGCCGGUAAGGUGAUAUGAACCGUUAUAACCGGCGAUUUCCGAAUGGGGAAACCCAGUGUGAUUCGUCACACUAUCAUUAACUGAAUCCAUAGGUUAAUGAGGCGAACCGGGGGAACUGAAACAUCUAAGUACCCCGAGGAAAAGAAAUCAACCGAGAUUCCCCCAGUAGCGGCGAGCGAACGGGGAGGAGCCCAGAGCCUGAAUCAGCAUGUGUGUUAGUGGAAGCGUCUGGAAAGGCGCGCGAUACAGGGUGACAGCCCCGUACACAAAAGCGCAUAUGCUGUGAGCUCGAUGAGUAGGGCGGGACACGUGGUAUCCUGUCUGAAUAUGGGGGGACCAUCCUCCAAGGCUAAAUACUCCUGACUGACCGAUAGUGAACCAGUACCGUGAGGGAAAGGCGAAAAGAACCCCGGCGAGGGGAGUGAAACAGAACCUGAAACCGUGUACGUACAAGCAGUGGGAGCACAGGUUUACCUGUGUGACUGCGUACCUUUUGUAUAAUGGGUCAGCGACUUAUAUUCUGUAGCAAGGUUAACCGCAUAGGGGAGCCGAAGGGAAACCGAGUCUUAAUUGGGCGUUAAGUUGCAGGGUAUAGACCCGAAACCCGGUGAUCUAGCCAUGGGCAGGUUGAAGGUUGGGUAACACUAACUGGAGGACCGAACCGACUAAUGUUGAAAAAUUAGCGGAUGACCUGUGGCUGGGGGUGAAAGGCCAAUCAAACCGGGAGAUAGCUGGUUCUCCCCGAAAGCUAUUUAGGUAGCGCCUCGUGAACUCAUCUCCGGGGGUAGAGCACUGUUUCGGCUAGGGGGCCAUCCCGGCUUACCAACCCGAUGCAAACUGCGAAUACCGGAGAAUGUUAUCACGGGAGACACACGGCGGGUGCUAACGUCCGUCGUGAAGAGGGAAACAACCCAGACCGCCAGCUAAGGUCCCAAAGUCAUGGUUAAGUGGGAAACGAUGUGGGAAGGCCCAGACAGCCAGGAUGUUGGCUUAGAAGCAGCCAUCAUUUAAAGAAAGCGUAAUAGCUCACUGGUCGAGUCGGCCUGCGCGGAAGAUGUAACGGGGCUAAACCAUGCACCGAAGCUGCGGCAGCGAACGUAUCACUUAAAACGAUUCAGAAGCUUACGAUUGACGGAGCGAAGCGACGUCAAAGCGUAUACAAAGUCGAGUCGGUUUAAGGAUACGUUCGUUGGGUAGGGGAGCGUUCUGUAAGCCUGCGAAGGUGGCCUGUGAGGGUUGCUGGAGGUAUCAGAAGUGCGAAUGCUGACAUAAGUAACGAUAAAGCGGGUGAAAAGCCCGCUCGCCGGAAGACCAAGGGUUCCUGUCCAACGUUAAUCGGGGCAGGGUGAGUCGACCCCUAAGGCGAGGCCGAAAGGCGUAGUCGAUGGGAAACGGGUUAAUAUUCCCGUACUUGGUGUUACUGCGAAGGGGGGACGGAGAAGGCUAUGUUGGCCGGGCGACGGUUGUCCCGGUUUAAGCGUGUAGGCUGACUUUCCAGGCAAAUCCGGAGAGUCAAGGCUGAGGCGUGACGACGAGGCACCACGGUGCUGAAGCAACAAAUGCCCUGCUUCCAGGAAAAGCCUCUAAGCAUCAGGUAACAUCAAAUCGUACCCCAAACCGACACAGGUGGUCAGGUAGAGAAUACCAAGGCGCUUGAGAGAACUCGGGUGAAGGAACUAGGCAAAAUGGUGCCGUAACUUCGGGAGAAGGCACGCUGACACGUAGGUGAAGUGAUUUACUCAUGGAGCUGAAGUCAGUCGAAGAUACCAGCUGGCUGCAACUGUUUAUUAAAAACACAGCACUGUGCAAACACGAAAGUGGACGUAUACGGUGUGACGCCUGCCCGGUGCCGGAAGGUUAAUUGAUGGGGUCAGCGCAAGCGAAGCUCCUGAUCGAAGCCCCGGUAAACGGCGGCCGUAACUAUAACGGUCCUAAGGUAGCGAAAUUCCUUGUCGGGUAAGUUCCGACCUGCACGAAUGGCGUAAUGAUGGCCAGGCUGUCUCCACCCGAGACUCAGUGAAAUUGAACUCGCUGUGAAGAUGCAGUGUACCCGCGGCAAGACGGAAAGACCCCGUGAACCUUUACUAUAGCUUGACACUGAACAUUGAGCCUUGAUGUGUAGGAUAGGUGGGAGGCUUUGAAGCGUGGACGCCAGUCUGCGUGGAGCCGGCCUUGAAAUACCACCCUUUAAUGUUUGAUGUUCUAACGUGGACCCGUGAUCCGGGUUGCGGACAGUGUCUGGUGGGUAGUUUGACUGGGGCGGUCUCCUCCUAAAGAGUAACGGAGGAGCACGAAGGUUGGCUAAUCCUGGUCGGACAUCAGGAGGUUAGUGCAAUGGCAUAAGCCAGCUUGACUGCGAGCGUGACGGCGCGAGCAGGUGCGAAAGCAGGUCAUAGUGAUCCGGUGGUUCUGAAUGGAAGGGCCAUCGCUCAACGGAUAAAAGGUACUCCGGGGAUAACAGGCUGAUACCGCCCAAGAGUUCAUAUCGACGGCGGUGUUUGGCACCUCGAUGUCGGCUCAUCACAUCCUGGGGCUGAAGUAGGUCCCAAGGGUAUGGCUGUUCGCCAUUUAAAGUGGUACGCGAGCUGGGUUUAGAACGUCGUGAGACAGUUCGGUCCCUAUCUGCCGUGGGCGCUGGAGAACUGAGGGGGGCUGCUCCUAGUACGAGAGGACCGGAGUGGACGCAUCACUGGUGUUCGGGUUGUCAUGCCAAUGGCACUGCCCGGUAGCUAAAUGCGGAAGAGAUAAGUGCUGAAAGCAUCUAAGCACGAAACUUGCCCCGAGAUGAGUUCUCCCUGAGACUUAGAGUCUCCUGAAGGAACGUUGAAGACGACGACGUUGAUAGGCCGGGUGUGUAAGCGCAGCGAUGCGUUGAGCUAACCGGUACUAAUGAACCGUGAGGCUUAACCUUACAACGCCGAAGCUGUU
Molecule: ribosomal RNA, 3013 nt
Filed under: Salmonella enterica subsp. salamae serovar 42:r:-
Lineage: Bacteria; Pseudomonadati; Pseudomonadota; Gammaproteobacteria; Enterobacterales; Enterobacteriaceae
Description: 23S ribosomal RNA
Rfam family: Bacterial large subunit ribosomal RNA
Source: RNAcentral